AUUGAACGCUGGCGGCAGGCCUAACACAUGCAAGUCGAGCGGAUGAGUGGAGCUUGCUCCAUGAUUCAGCGGCGGACGGGUGAGUAAUGCCUAGGAAUCUGCCUGGUAGUGGGGGACAACGUUUCGAAAGGAACGCUAAUACCGCAUACGUCCUACGGGAGAAAGCAGGGGACCUUCGGGCCUUGCGCUAUCAGAUGAGCCUAGGUCGGAUUAGCUAGUAGGUGAGGUAAUGGCUCACCUAGGCGACGAUCCGUAACUGGUCUGAGAGGACGAUCAGUCACACUGGAACUGAGACACGGUCCAGACUCCUACGGGAGGCAGCAGUGGGGAAUAUUGGACAAUGGGCGAAAGCCUGAUCCAGCCAUGCCGCGUGUGUGAAGAAGGUCUUCGGAUUGUAAAGCACUUUAAGUUGGGAGGAAGGGCAGUAAGUUAAUACCUUGUUGUUUUGACGUUACCAACAGAAUAAGCACCGGCUAACUUCGUGCCAGCCGCCGCGGUAA
RNAcentral lists this ribosomal RNA (500 nucleotides) under uncultured bacterium. RNAcentral's name for it is "partial 16S ribosomal RNA". It matches the Rfam family "Bacterial small subunit ribosomal RNA", at positions 30 to 523 of the family's 1533-position model. The record is from RNAcentral.